AACGAACGCUGGCGGCAUGCCUAACACAUGCAAGUCGAACGAGAAGUUCGGGGCGAGGGGCGCACGGGUGCGUAACGCGUGGGAACCUGCCAUUAGGUUCGGAAUAACUCCGCGAAAGGGGUGGUAAUACCGGGUAAUGUCUUGGGACCAAAGAUUUAUCGCUUGUGGGUGGGCCCGCGUUGGAUUAGCUAGUUGGUAGGGUCAAAGCCUACCAAGGCGACGAUCCAUAGCUGGUCUGAGAGGCUGAUCAGCCACACUGGGACUGAGACACGGCCCAGACUCCUACGGGAGGCAGCAGUGGGGACUAUUGGACCAUGGGCGAAAGCCUGAUCCAGCAAUGCCGCGUGAGUGAUGAAGGCCUUAGGGUUGUAAAGCUCUUUUACCCGGGAUGAUAAUGACAGUACCGGGAGAAUAAGCUCCGGCUAACUCCGUG
This 433-nucleotide ribosomal RNA is filed under the name uncultured bacterium. RNAcentral describes it as "partial 16S ribosomal RNA". It matches the Rfam family "Bacterial small subunit ribosomal RNA", at positions 29 to 507 of the family's 1533-position model. The record is from RNAcentral.